This 522-nucleotide ribosomal RNA is filed under the name uncultured fungus. RNAcentral describes it as "partial 18S ribosomal RNA". The stretch from base 1 to 314 matches the Rfam family "Eukaryotic small subunit ribosomal RNA", at positions 73 to 388 of the family's 1831-position model. The record is from RNAcentral. Lineage: Eukaryota; Fungi.
AAUAAGCUUANCGNCUGCGAAUGGCUCAUUAUAUAAGUUAUCGUUUAUUUGAUAGUACCUUACUACAUGGAUAACCGUGGUAAUUCUAGAGCUAAUACAUGCUGAAAAUCCCGACUUCGGAAGGGAUGUAUUUAUUAUAUUCAAAACCAAUGCCCUUCGGGGCUCCAAUGGUGAUUCAUGAUAACUUCUCAAAUCGCACGGCCCCGCGCCGGCAAUGGUUCAUUCAAAUUUCUUCCCUAUCAACUUUCNAUGCUACGGUAGUGUCCUAGCAUGGUUGCAACGGGUAACGGGGAAACGGGGANCCUUCGCCGGGGCGGGGUCGGANAAAANAGANUUUUUUUUUCUUNUAGGAGUCCGAAGGGUAUCGGUUUGUANUCAAANAUAAUUCUANGAAGGCGGUNUUUCGCGGUUACUANAGAANAUANGGUUAUCUGUAUGGGUNUNUNAGAUUCNGAGUUUNGUNUUUNUGCUUUUUUUAUAUUGNUGGUUUUAUCUUUNUGAUUGUUUUACUUUAUUUUUUUU